This 275-nucleotide ribosomal RNA is filed under the name uncultured bacterium. RNAcentral's name for it is "partial 16S ribosomal RNA". It matches the Rfam family "Bacterial small subunit ribosomal RNA", at positions 399 to 691 of the family's 1533-position model. The record is from RNAcentral.
GCGUGAGUGAAGAAGGUCUUAGGAUCGUAAAGCUCUUUCGCCAGGGAUGAUAAUGACAGUACCUGGUAAAGAAACCCCGGCUAACUCCGUGCCAGCAGCCGCGGUAAUACGGAGGGGGUUAGCGUUGUUCGGAAUUACUGGGCGUAAAGCGUACGUAGGCGGAUUGGAAAGUUGGGGGUGAAAUCCCGGGGCUCAACCCCGGAACUGCCUCCAAAACUCCCAGUCUUGAGUUCGAGAGAGGUGAGUGGAACUCCGAGUGUAGAGGUGAAAUUCGU